RNAcentral lists this ribosomal RNA (465 nucleotides) under Vreelandella stevensii. RNAcentral describes it as "partial 16S ribosomal RNA". It matches the Rfam family "Bacterial small subunit ribosomal RNA", at positions 338 to 795 of the family's 1533-position model. The record is from RNAcentral. Lineage: Bacteria; Pseudomonadati; Pseudomonadota; Gammaproteobacteria; Oceanospirillales; Halomonadaceae.
CCUACGGGGGGCCGCAGUGGGGAAUAUUGGACAAUGGGGGGAACCCUGAUCCAGCCAUGCCGCGUGUGUGAAGAAGGCCCUCGGGUUGUAAAGCACUUUCAGUGAGGAAGAACGCCUGGUGGUUAAUACCCAUCAGGAAAGACAUCACUCACAGAAGAAGCACCGGCUAACUCCGUGCCAGCAGCCGCGGUAAUACGGAGGGUGCGAGCGUUAAUCGGAAUUACUGGGCGUAAAGCGCGCGUAGGUGGCUUGAUAAGCCGGUUGUGAAAGCCCCGGGCUCAACCUGGGAACGGCAUCCGGAACUGUCAAGCUAGAGUGCAGGAGAGGAAGGUAGAAUUCCCGGUGUAGCGGUGAAAUGCGUAGAGAUCGGGAGGAAUACCAGUGGCGAAGGCGGCCUUCUGGACUGACACUGACACUGAGGUGCGAAAGCGUGGGUAGCAAACAGGAUUAGAUACCCCGGUAGUC